This 253-nucleotide ribosomal RNA is filed under the name uncultured bacterium. RNAcentral's name for it is "partial 16S ribosomal RNA". It matches the Rfam family "Bacterial small subunit ribosomal RNA", at positions 524 to 776 of the family's 1533-position model. The record is from RNAcentral.
GACGAAGGGGGCUAGCGUUGUUCGGAAUUACUGGGCGUAAAGCGAGUGUAGGUGGUUGUCCAAGUUGGAUGUGAAAGCCUUGAGCUCAACUCAAGAAAUGCAUUCAGGACUGGGCGGCUAGAGGACCGGAGAGGAUAGUGGAAUUCCCAGUGUAGUGGUGAAAUACGUAGAGAUUGGGAAGAACACCAGUGGCGAAGGCGGCUAUCUGGACCGACACUGACGCUGAGGCGCGAAAGCGUGGGGAGCAAACAGG